GGAGACUUCGUCAACAUGGCGUUCCGGCCGCUUCCAGUCCGGUAGGACAGAUGAUUCGGCUAUUCUCGUCCAAUUACGGAAGCGCUGCUCAGCAUCCUGGAACUUCUUGUCCAGGAUGGACACCAUCUUCCUCACCACCUUCAUGAUCAUGUAGUUGUUCAGGACACUGCUCAGGUGAACAUGGUGUUGAUGUUUGGAUCAUCUGAAGUUGCAGAGAGAUGCAAGUCAUUCUGGGACUGACCGCCAGA
Molecule: long non-coding RNA, 248 nt
Organism: Oncorhynchus masou masou (cherry salmon)
Lineage: Eukaryota; Metazoa; Chordata; Actinopteri; Salmoniformes; Salmonidae
Exons: 3
Source: RefSeq, a predicted model, not a curated record